RNAcentral lists this ribosomal RNA (1372 nucleotides) under uncultured bacterium. RNAcentral describes it as "bacterial SSU rRNA". It matches the Rfam family "Bacterial small subunit ribosomal RNA", at positions 28 to 1381 of the family's 1533-position model. The record is from RNAcentral.
GAUGAACGCUGGCGGCGUGCCUAAUACAUGCAAGUCGAGCGAACGGACGAGAAGCUUGCUUCUCUGAUGUUAGCGGCGGACGGGUGAGUAACACGUGGAUAACCUACCUAUAAGACUGGGAUAACUUCGGGAAACCGGAGCUAAUACCGGAUAAUAUUUUGAACCGCAUGGUUCAAAAGUGAAAGACGGUCUUGCUGUCACUUAUAGAUGGAUCCGCGCUGCAUUAGCUAGUUGGUAAGGUAACGGCUUACCAAGGCAACGAUGCAUAGCCGACCUGAGAGGGUGAUCGGCCGCACUGGAACUGAGACACGGUCCAGACUCCUACGGGAGGCAGCAGUAGGGAAUCUUCCGCAAUGGGCGAAAGCCUGACGGAGCAACGCCGCGUGAGUGAUGAAGGUCUUCGGAUCGUAAAACUCUGUUAUUAGGGAAGAACAUAUGUGUAAGUAACUGUGCACAUCUUGACGGUACCUAAUCAGAAAGCCACGGCUAACUACGUGCCAGCAGCCGCGGUAAUACGUAGGUGGCAAGCGUUAUCCGGAAUUAUUGGGCGUAAAGCGCGCGUAGGCGGUUUUUUAAGUCUGAUGUGAAAGCCCACGGCUCAACCGUGGAGGGUCAUUGGAAACUGGAAAACUUGAGUGCAGAAGAGGAAAGUGGAAUUCCAUGUGUAGCGGUGAAAUGCGCAGAGAUAUGGAGGAACACCAGUGGCGAAGGCGACUUUCUGGUCUGUAACUGACGCUGAUGUGCGAAAGCGUGGGGAUCAAACAGGAUUAGAUACCCUGGUAGUCCACGCCGUAAACGAUGAGUGCUAAGUGUUAGGGGGUUUCCGCCCCUUAGUGCUGCAGCUAACGCAUUAAGCACUCCGCCUGGGGAGUACGACCGCAAGGUUGAAACUCAAAGGAAUUGACGGGGACCCGCACAAGCGGUGGAGCAUGUGGUUUAAUUCGAAGCAACGCGAAGAACCUUACCAAAUCUUGACAUCCUUUGACAACUCUAGAGAUAGAGCCUUCCCCUUCGGGGGACAAAGUGACAGGUGGUGCAUGGUUGUCGUCAGCUCGUGUCGUGAGAUGUUGGGUUAAGUCCCGCAACGAGCGCAACCCUUAAGCUUAGUUGCCAUCAUUAAGUUGGGCACUCUAAGUUGACUGCCGGUGACAAACCGGAGGAAGGUGGGGAUGACGUCAAAUCAUCAUGCCCCUUAUGAUUUGGGCUACACACGUGCUACAAUGGACAAUACAAAGGGCAGCGAAACCGCGAGGUCAAGCGAAUCCCAUAAAGUUGUUCUCAGUUCGGAUUGUAGUCUGCAACUCGACUACAUGAAGCUGGAAUCGCUAGUAAUCGUAGAUCAGCAUGCUACGGUGAAUACGUUCCCGGGUCU